GACGAACGCUGGCGGCGUGCUUAACACAUGCAAGUCGAACGGAAAGGCCCUGCUUUUGUGGGUUGCUCGAGUGGCGAACGGGUGAGUAACACGUGAGUAACCUGCCCUUGACUUUGGGAUAACUUCAGGAAACUGGGGCUAAUACCGGAUAGGAGCUCCUGCUGCAUGGUGGGGGUUGGAAAGUUUCGGCGGUUGGGGAUGGACUCGCGGCUUAUCAGCUUGUUGGUGGGGUAUUGGCUUACCAAGGCUUUGGCGGGUAGCCGGCCUGGGAGGGUGGCCGGCCACAUUGGGCCUGAGAUACGGCCCAGACUCCUACGGGAGGCAGCAGUGGGGAAUAUUGCACAAUGGGCGGAAGCCUGAUGCAGCAACGCCGCGUGCGGGAUGACGGCCUUCGGGUUGUAAACCGCUUUCGCCUGUGACGAAGCGUGAGUGACGGUAAUGGGUAAAGAAGCACCGGCUAACUACGUG
This 468-nucleotide ribosomal RNA is filed under the name uncultured bacterium. RNAcentral's name for it is "partial 16S ribosomal RNA". It matches the Rfam family "Bacterial small subunit ribosomal RNA", at positions 28 to 507 of the family's 1533-position model. The record is from RNAcentral.